RNAcentral lists this ribosomal RNA (250 nucleotides) under uncultured bacterium. RNAcentral's name for it is "partial 16S ribosomal RNA". It matches the Rfam family "Bacterial small subunit ribosomal RNA", at positions 524 to 773 of the family's 1533-position model. The record is from RNAcentral.
UACGAAGGGGGCUAGCGUUGUUCGGAAUGACUGGGCGUAAAGGGCGCGUAGGCGGCGCAUCAAGUCGGGCGUGAAAGCCCCGGGCUCAACCUGGGAACUGCGUUCGAGACUGGUGCGCUGGAGUUCGGGAGAGGAGAGUGGAAUUCCCAGUGUAGAGGUGAAAUUCGUAGAUAUUGGGAAGAACACCAAUGGCGAAGGCAGCUCUCUGGACCGAUACUGACGCUGAGGCGCGAAAGCGUGGGGAGCAAAC